CGUUAAAACACCGGUACCUGUAUGAUCACCGGAGUUAAGCAACAUCAAGCUUGGUCAGUACGUAGAUGGGCAACCGUUUUGGAAUAUCAAGUGCUGCGAG
This is a non-coding RNA of Acanthosepion pharaonis, 100 nucleotides long. Lineage: Eukaryota; Metazoa; Mollusca; Cephalopoda; Sepiida; Sepiidae. The record is from the annotation of a GenBank genome assembly.